GAGGAAUAUUGCGCAAUGGACGAAAGUCUGACGCAGCCACGCCGCGUGCAGGAAGACACCCCUCAGGGGCGUAAACUGCUUUUAUACGGGAAGAACACCUCCUUCUGGGAGGUCUGACGGUACCGUACGAAUAAGGACCGGCUAACUCCGUGCCAGCAGCCGCGGUAAUACGGAGGGUCCAAGCGUUGUCCGGAAUCACUGGGUGUAAAGGGUGCGCAGGCGGGCGUGUAAGUCAGGGGUGAAAGCCACCGGCCUAACCGGUGAACUGCCCUUGAUACUGCACGUCUUGAGUCCCGGAGAGGCUAUCGGAAUUCGUGGUGUAGCGGUGAAAUGCGUAAAUAUCACGAGGA
RNAcentral lists this ribosomal RNA (350 nucleotides) under uncultured bacterium. Its description in RNAcentral is "bacterial SSU rRNA". It matches the Rfam family "Bacterial small subunit ribosomal RNA", at positions 356 to 705 of the family's 1533-position model. The record is from RNAcentral.